This 386-nucleotide ribosomal RNA is filed under the name uncultured eukaryote. Its description in RNAcentral is "partial 18S ribosomal RNA". It matches the Rfam family "Eukaryotic small subunit ribosomal RNA", at positions 592 to 976 of the family's 1831-position model. The record is from RNAcentral.
CAAUAGCGUAUACUAACGUUGUUGCAGUUAAAAAGCUCGUAGUUGGAUUUCUGAAGGUGGUUGGAUUGGUGUGACCUCGCGUUGCCUCAACCAUACUAUUUUCAACAUAUGCGAUGAAUUGGUGUGGUUAAUUAAGUUUGAUCCGCCAUUAAAUCGCUCGUUUACUUUGAGAAAAUUAGAGUGUUCAAAGCAGGCAUAACGCCUUGAAUGUGUUAGCAUGGAAUAAUAGCAUAGGACUUUGGUUCUAUUUGUUGGUUGUUCGAGAACCGGAGUAAUGAUUGAUAGGGACGGUUGGGGGCAUCUGUAUUCUCAAGCGAGAGGUGAAAUUCUUGGACCUUGGGAAGACGAACAGCUGCGAAAGCGUUUGCCUAGGACGUUCUCUUUAA